GAGAUUAAAGAUUUAUCGGUGAUGGAUGGGGAUGCGUCUGAUUAGCUUGUUGGCGGGGUAACGGCCCACCAAGGCGACGAUCAGUAGGGGUUCUGAGAGGAAGGUCCCCCACAUUGGAACUGAGACACGGUCCAAACUCCUACGGGAGGCAGCAGUGAGGAAUAUUGGUCAAUGGACGAGAGUCUGAACCAGCCAAGUAGCGUGCAGGAAGACGGCCCUAUGGGUUGUAAACUGCUUUUAUAAGGGAAUAAAGUGAGAGUCGUGACUCUUUUUGCAUGUACCUUAUGAAUAAGGACCGGCUAAUUCCGUGCCAGCAGCCGCGGUAAUACGGAAGGUCCGGGCGUUAUCCGGAUUUAUUGGGUUUAAAGGGAGCGUAGGCCGGAGAUUAAGCGUGUUGUGAAAUGUAGAUGCUCAACAUCUGAACUGCAGCGCGAACUGGUUUCCUUGAGUACGCACAAAGUGGGCGGAAUUCGUGGUGUAGCGGUGAAAUGCUUAGAUAUCACGAAGAACUCCGAUUGCGAAGGCAGCUCACUGGAGCGCAACUGACGCUGAAGCUCGAAAGUGCGGGUAUCGAACAGGAUUAGAUACCCUGGUAGUCCGCACGGUAAACGAUGGAUGCCCGCUGUUGGUCUGAAUAGGUCAGCGGCCAAGCGAAA
This 656-nucleotide ribosomal RNA is filed under the name uncultured bacterium. RNAcentral describes it as "bacterial SSU rRNA". It matches the Rfam family "Bacterial small subunit ribosomal RNA", at positions 197 to 856 of the family's 1533-position model. The record is from RNAcentral.